UGCACAGUCAUCUCUUGGAGCCAGUG
RNAcentral lists this non-coding RNA (26 nucleotides) under Homo sapiens (human). Lineage: Eukaryota; Metazoa; Chordata; Mammalia; Primates; Hominidae. The record is from RNAcentral.